This 29-nucleotide non-coding RNA is filed under the name Homo sapiens (human). Lineage: Eukaryota; Metazoa; Chordata; Mammalia; Primates; Hominidae. The record is from RNAcentral.
UCAGACCAAUCUUGAUUCACUCCCUGGAA